AACGCACAUUGCGCCCCCUGGUAUUCCGGGGGGCAUGCCUGUUCGAGCGUCAUUUCAACCCUCAAGCCCGGCUUGUGUGAUGGACGAACGUCCUGCCUUUAGGGGCGGGACGCGUCCGAAAAGCAGUGGCUAGGCCGCGACUUCGGCGCCUGAGCGAAUGGGAUUUCCAGCGCUUCUAGGACCGACCGGCCCCUAGCCUCCAAACAAACAGUCCUGACGGACUUCUUAGGUUGACCUCGGAUCAGGUAGGGAUACCCGCUGAACUUAA
This 268-nucleotide unclassified non-coding RNA is filed under the name uncultured Arthrodermataceae. RNAcentral describes it as "sequence contains ITS2". The stretch from base 1 to 52 matches the Rfam family "5.8S ribosomal RNA", at positions 103 to 154 of the family's 154-position model. The record is from RNAcentral. Lineage: Eukaryota; Fungi; Ascomycota; Eurotiomycetes; Onygenales; Arthrodermataceae.